This is a non-coding RNA of Peromyscus maniculatus bairdii (prairie deer mouse), 814 nucleotides long. The record is from RefSeq and is a predicted model, not a curated record. NCBI's taxonomy places the organism in Eukaryota, Metazoa, Chordata, Mammalia, Rodentia, Cricetidae.
UGUGCUGACCCAGAGACCACACCUCUUCCCCCAGGGCCUUGCUGUCUAUCCUGCUCAGCUCUUUAUUGAGAGUAUGCCCAGGCAAUAAGAGAGGUGAGAUCAAGCCUCCACGUUCCCAGGACUCUCCUGGCUUGUACAUCGAAAGUCCCACGUCCCACGAAUCUCCAUUUAGGGCAAGCUGUGACAGUGGAUCACCCAAGACGGUUUCUACCUUCUUAUCCAUACCACCCACCUUCUUGGCCUUUACGGAUCACACGACUCUGGUUCCAUGAAGCGCAGCGGGCUUUUUGAAGCCCACACCCUUGAAUUACUACCUGCCCCACUUGACGCCAAAGAACUGCUGUCAGCUAUUGCUCAGCUCUGGCCCCUUUCCACCUUAGCUGUGAGGGGGCAGCCCCCUGUCCGCUCCCCAGAGGACAAAGAGGGACACAAGAUUUAUUACAGGCUUGCUGAUAUGUUUGAAUAAAGCCCCCCUCUCAGAAAGGACGCCGCCAACAAGUCCUGUGUCUGAGUGGCUGGAAAUGAGGAGAGAAUUAGACCCAGCAUCUGCAACAGAAACGGAAGGCAGGGCUUUCGAUGCAGCCUGGAGGAUCCUGGAACCAUGAGGCUAUUGCCCAGGCAAGGCAGCAGAGGUUUGAGGAGCUGAAGCAACUCACCAGAGGCAUCAGUGCUCCUGUGUAGCCGAGAGAGGAGCCCAGGUAACUUCCGGGGACAUCAAAGUCAUCACAGAGGCAGAAAGGGACACGCCUUGCCAAUCACUCAGCACAUGCCCCGGGUGCCCGGCAUUGUGAGACUUGCAGCAGUGAACAAUCCA